RNAcentral lists this ribosomal RNA (393 nucleotides) under uncultured bacterium. RNAcentral describes it as "bacterial SSU rRNA". It matches the Rfam family "Bacterial small subunit ribosomal RNA", at positions 115 to 507 of the family's 1533-position model. The record is from RNAcentral.
ACGUGUGCAACCUACUUAUCUGGAGGAUAGCCUUUACGAAAGGAAGAUUAAUACUCCAUAGUAUAUUGAUUGGCAUCAAUUGAUAUUGAAAGCUCCGGCGGAUAGAGAUGGGCACGCGCAAGAUUAGUUAGUUGGUGAGGUAACGGCUCACCAAGACGAUGAUCUUUAGGGGCCUGAGAGGGUGACUCCCCCACACUGGUACUGAGACACGGACCAGACUCCUACGGGAGGCAGCAGUGAGGAAUAUUGGUCAAUGGGUGCAAGCCUGAACCAGCCACUCCCGCGUGAAGGACGACUGCCCUAUGGGUUGUAAACUUCUUUUGUAUAGGGAUAAACCUACCCUCGUGAGGGUAGCUGAAGGUACUAUACGAAUAAGCACCGGCUAACUCCGUG